Molecule: ribosomal RNA, 510 nt
Filed under: uncultured bacterium
Lineage: Bacteria
Description: partial 16S ribosomal RNA
Rfam family: Bacterial small subunit ribosomal RNA
Source: RNAcentral
GACGAACGCUGGCGGCGUGCUUAACACAUGCAAGUCGAACGAAGAGCGAUGGAAGCUUGCUUCUAUCAAUCUUAGUGGCGAACGGGUGAGUAACGCGUAAUCAACCUGCCCUUCAGAGGGGGACAACAGUUGGAAACGACUGCUAAUACCGCAUACGAUCUAAUCUCGGCAUCGAGGAUAGAUGAAAGGUGGCCUCUACAUGUAAGCUAUCACUGAAGGAGGGGAUUGCGUCGGAUUAGCUAGUUGGAGGGGUAACGGCCCACCAAGGCGAUGAUCAGUAGCCGGUCUGAGAGGAUGAACGGCCACAUUGGGACUGAGACACGGCCCAGACUCCUACGGGAGGCAGCAGUGGGGAAUCUUCCGCAAUGGACGAAAGUCUGACGGAGCAACGCCGCGUGAGUGAUGACGGCCUUCGGGUUGUAAAGCUCGGUUAAUCGGGACGAAAGGCCUUCUUGCGAAUAGGGAGAAGGAUUGACGGUACCGGAAGAGAAAGCCACGGCUAACUACGUG